RNAcentral lists this ribosomal RNA (252 nucleotides) under uncultured bacterium. Its description in RNAcentral is "partial 16S ribosomal RNA". It matches the Rfam family "Bacterial small subunit ribosomal RNA", at positions 524 to 776 of the family's 1533-position model. The record is from RNAcentral.
UACGUAGGGUGCAAGCGUUGUCCGGAAUUAUUGGGCGUAAAGAGCUCGUAGGCGGUCUGUCGCGUCGGACGUGAAAACCCAGGGCUCAACCUGGGCCUGCGUUCGAUACGGGCAGACUAGAGUUCGGUAGGGGAGACUGGAAUUCCUGGUGUAGCGGUGAAAUGCGCAGAUAUCAGGAGGAACACCGGUGGCGAAGGCGGGUCUCUGGGCCGAAACUGACGCUGAGGAGCGAAAGCGUGGGGAGCGAACAGG